UUGCACCCCAACCAAUCUUCCCACAAUUAUACAGAAAGAUGCAGACAUGCACACAUGGCCACCUCUGAGCCAAGUACAUCCUGAGUUAUGCAGAGCCCCUGUGUCUUCCCUGCCAUGGAAGUUGUGCUAGACCCACAGUGCUCAUAGCCUGGAAAACAUCAUCUUAAACACAAGGCAGUGUGAUGCCCUCUGGGACUGAAAGCUGCUGGAGGCUCUUUGGGGAUGGGGAUAUGUCAGCUGUCCUGAGAUAAUGUCCACCAGUUCCUAUGAGGUGGUCUCCCAGGAUCAGUAGCAGACAGGCAGGGGGACCAUGUGCAGGGACAGGCUUGUGGUGAGGCCUGUAGACCAUUCCCAAAUCAACAGUGCCAAAAACUGUGAGGCCCCAUCAGCUGAGUUGUGGAGGAGGCAAAAGCAAGGAGGCAGAAGUACAGGAGAGGUAUGGAAUCCAGGAGAGGAGGAAACAGCUGAGGGUACUGCAAGAGAAUGCAACUAAGACAUGAUCUCUACAGUGACAUCAUGACCCAAGAAGUUUGCAUGGGAGACUGAGUGACCUGGGAGAAGAAAAUAAGUCACUCAAGGGCUGAUCCAUGCAAAGUCACCAAUGCUGGCUCCAUCCCUGAGCUACCAGGGAACGUGCAUAAGGGAAGCAUUGCAAGGUAUCACACCACCUUACAAACGCCAGGACCAGGGUCAGGAGGAGCAGGGAAACGCUGUUGCUGGAGACGAACAGAGCCAGACUGCAGGGGAGAUGGCAGUGGGUGAGGUUCAGCUUGCAUCGUGAGGGAGUGCUGGGCUUCUUGUUAGCUCCACGUUUUCCUUUCCUCUCCCUGCUGGUGUGAGAAAACGCACGCUGCAUUUGUUCGGCUGCCAGGAAUAUGGCAGCUCAAGCACCAUCUUGUUAGCUUUGCUGUGUGUCUUUUCCCACAGCAUUGCUUUAAAUAAUGAAGGGAGUCAUGAUCCACCAGCUGGAUUAGACGUUAUGAACUUAUCUGGCUCAAAUCCAAUGGUGAUAUAUUUGGCCUCAUUAUUUUAUGCACAAAUGCCACAAAACAGCACAAGAUUUUUUUUUUCUUUUCCUAAAUACUCUUUUUCUUUUAGCACUGACAUUUCUCUUAUUUGCAUUAAGAUUUGCAAUGAACAGUCUGUGCCAGACCAAAUUUGUCAGAUACUUCUGCUUUUAUGGCUGGUUUGUUCCAGGAAAUCAGGGUUGGAAUUGUAUCCCCUGACCUCAGGGAUGGGCCAACGAGUGCUCCCAGGGUGGGGAACAUCUUCUCGCCUUCAGGGACCGCCUGUGUGAGGAAAUGGGGGAACCGGUGCCUUGGCCAGGACAUCAGUUCAGGAAAAUUGAAAUCGCGUUCCUCAUGUGUUGUGGCUUUUAGCAAGCAUCUGAGCUGUAGUUUCCCUAGCUGUAUGGGGAAUAUGAUAACAUUCAGCCUGCUUUAUAAAGUAUUCAGAGGCUUACAAGACUUUUAUUAAAUGAAGAUCUAGAUGGAAGUGAUGGGAAGUGCUGUUACAUGAACUUCACUUAUGCUCUUGCUAUUUCCAGUGCAGGUACCCAACAGUAUGCAUGCAGAGUGAUAGAUGCAAUGGGGCAGGGAAGCAGACACGCUUGCUGUGGAGUGCAAGAUUUCCCCCUACAGAGGGAAUCAGCCUCCCUGUCACUCGGGAGACAGAGACAGGGAAAGUUUUGCACAGGAGGACAGAAAACUGCCUGCAAAAGCCAGAGAUACAAGAAGAUCAGAGGUCAGGGAUGGAUAAGAAAUGCUUUGAGCAUAGAAAGAUUAGAGGGCAAAAGCCUUCACUGUGGAUACUUUGAUCUUGCAGCAGUACAGAUCCUACAGAGUUUGGCCCUACCUAAAAAGCAUGAAAUUGCCUCAGACCAGGGUCUCGUGUCCUUUGCUAUUCCAGCAAAGUAAAAUAAAAAAUUCACAAAGAGAUGUGAGCCACCUGGGAUAGGAAUGCCCAUCAGCUUCUAAAUUAUGAUUUCUUAGUGAUUAAAGUGCAAGAAAUGAGGGUGUUGUGUGGGAUGCUUUACCUAGCCAUCCUGGCAUGAUCACGCUGUGUUACAAUUCAAUUCAGCCUUCAGGCAAUGCACUCCUGCUCUGCUUCCGGAACCAGACAAUGUCUGCUCUGAGUAUUUCAUCUGACAAUCCAGAGAGAAAGGAAGAUUAGAGAAGUAGAAACCUACAACAUUUUGGGGGGGGGGGGAAGUCUUUUUCCCCCCAUUUGUUUUCUGUUUCAUAUAGUGUUAGUUCAGUAUGUGCCGUUGUGCUGAGUCUGCUAUUUGAAGUAGUUUCUGCAAAGUCAAGACCAAGUUUGGGAGAAUCUGGAAAUAACGUAAACACACUGAAUCUGAAAAGCAAAAUCAGACUCUCCUCAUUUUGUUUUUCAUUAAGCAGAGAAAGGGAAGAGUGUGCUCCAUGUAUUCAGCCAUUCAAGUGCUAUGUACUCGGAUACCGUCUGGGUGAGCCGAAGCAUUGCUCUGCAAAUAUUGACAGUCUCUUCAUUCAAGCAAGAGCUCUCAGAGUCUAAUUUUAAGUGCUCAUUUUGUGUAUUCCUCAAUAAAAGUCAGGCAAUUAGGGGAAGAACAA
Molecule: long non-coding RNA, 2591 nt
Organism: Pseudopipra pipra
Lineage: Eukaryota; Metazoa; Chordata; Aves; Passeriformes; Pipridae
Exons: 2
Source: RefSeq, a predicted model, not a curated record